Molecule: ribosomal RNA, 489 nt
Filed under: uncultured bacterium
Lineage: Bacteria
Description: bacterial SSU rRNA
Rfam family: Bacterial small subunit ribosomal RNA
Source: RNAcentral
GACGAACGCUGGCGGCGUGCUUAACACAUGCAAGUCGAACGGUGACGAGGAGCUUGCUCCUCUGAUCAGUGGCGAACGGGUGAGUAACACGUGAGCAACCUGCCCCAGACUCUGGGAUAACAGUUGGAAACAGCUGCUAAUACCGGAUACGAGACGGAGAGGCAUCUCUACCGUCUGGAAAGUUUUUCGGUCUGGGAUGGACUCGCGGCCUAUCAGCUAGUUGGUGAGGUAAUGGCUCACCAAGGCGACGACGGGUAGCCGGCCUGAGAGGGCGACCGGCCACACUGGGACUGAGACACGGCCCAGACUCCUACGGGAGGCAGCAGUGGGGAAUAUUGCACAAUGGGCGAAAGCCUGAUGCAGCGACGCCGCGUGAGGGAUGACGGCCUUCGGUUGUAACUCUGUCUGGGGACGGAGUAAGGACGGUACCCCGGACGGAAGCCCGGCGUACUAACGUGCCACGCAGCCGGGUAAACGGAAGGUAGUACA